AGGACCUCUACAAUGGCAGAACUGUACAGUACAUUGUUACUACUUUAUUCCUAAAUCUAUACAACUAUUGAAACCACUUUAACCCAACACCUAGCAACCUCUUGGCAUGACGGCUAAUUUGUUAGGUUUUAACAGGCUAAUUUGUUAGGUUUUAACAGGCUAAUUUGUUAGGUUUUAACAGGCUAAUUUGUUAGGUUUUAACAGGCUAAUUUGUUAGGUUUUAACAGGCUAAUUUGUUAGGUUUUAACAGGCUAAUUUGUUAGGUUUUAACAGGCUAAUUUGUUAGGUUUUAACAGGCUAAUUUGUUAGGUUUCAACAGGCUAAUUUGUUAGGUUUCAACAGGCUAAUUUGUUAGGUUUCAACAGGCUAAUUUGUUAGGUUUUAACAGGCUAAUUUGUUAGGUUUUAACAGGCUAAUUUGUUAGGUUUCAACAGGCUAAUUUGUUAGGUUUUAACAGGCUAAUUUGUUAGGUUUCAACAGGCUAAUUUGUUAGGUUUCAACAGGCUAAUUUGUUAGGUUUCAACAGGCUAAUUUGUUAGGUUUUAACAGGCUAAUUUGUUAGGUUUUAACAGGCUAAUUUGUUAGGUUUUAACAGGCUAAUUUGUUAGGUUUUAACAGGCUAAUUUGUUAGGUUUCAACAGGCUAAUUUGUUAGGUUUUAACAGGCUAAUUUGUUAGGUUUUAACAGUUGCUUUACCCAGGUUUAUUUCCUCCUGAUUCUGGAAAUCUUACCACUGGGAUUUCUGAAAUCCUGUUGAUAAAAGCUGUUUUUGGACAGAAGCACUGCAAAUGAUCGCAACAAAUCUUAUGCCAUCUCAUUAUAUACAUAGAGGUUGCCAUGGUAACACUUUAAAAUGACUAGCAUGAAUAAACCUUUUAACGAUUUAUAAGCGAUUUACA
Long non-coding RNA from Oncorhynchus keta (chum salmon), 899 nucleotides. RefSeq lists it as uncharacterized. Lineage: Eukaryota; Metazoa; Chordata; Actinopteri; Salmoniformes; Salmonidae. The record is from RefSeq and is a predicted model, not a curated record. The transcript is spliced from 5 exons.